UACGUAGGGGGCAAGCGUUGUCCGGAAUUACUGGGCGUAAAGCGCCUGUAGGCGGGAACGUGCGUCGGACGUGAAAGGCGGGGGCUUAACCCCCGAGCGGCGUUCGAAACGGCGUUUCUUGAGGGUCGAAGAGGAGCGUGGAAUUCCUGGUGUAGCGGUGAAAUGCGUAGAGAUCAGGAGGAACACCCAUGGCGAAGGCAGCGCUCUGGUCGGCAUCUGACGCUGAGAGGCGAAAGCGUGGGGAGCAAACAGG
Molecule: ribosomal RNA, 253 nt
Filed under: uncultured bacterium
Lineage: Bacteria
Description: partial 16S ribosomal RNA
Rfam family: Bacterial small subunit ribosomal RNA
Source: RNAcentral